AAAUUGAAGAGUUUGAUCAUGGCUCAGAUUGAACGCUGGCGGCAGGCCUAACACAUGCAAGUCGAACGGUAACAGGAAGCAGCUUGCUGUUUUGCUGACGAGUGGCGGACGGGUGAGAAAUGUCUGGGAAACUGCCUGAUGGAGGGGGAUAACUACUGGAAACGGUAGCUAAUACCGCAUAACGUCGCAAGACCAAAGAGGGGGACCUU
This 209-nucleotide ribosomal RNA is filed under the name Escherichia coli. Its description in RNAcentral is "partial 16S ribosomal RNA". It matches the Rfam family "Bacterial small subunit ribosomal RNA", at positions 1 to 216 of the family's 1533-position model. The record is from RNAcentral. Lineage: Bacteria; Pseudomonadati; Pseudomonadota; Gammaproteobacteria; Enterobacterales; Enterobacteriaceae.